UCCACAACCACCUCUGAGCUGUUUCUGGCA
RNAcentral lists this non-coding RNA (30 nucleotides) under Rattus norvegicus (Norway rat). The record is from RNAcentral. Lineage: Eukaryota; Metazoa; Chordata; Mammalia; Rodentia; Muridae.